Molecule: ribosomal RNA, 459 nt
Filed under: uncultured bacterium
Lineage: Bacteria
Description: partial 16S ribosomal RNA
Rfam family: Bacterial small subunit ribosomal RNA
Source: RNAcentral
CCUACGGGAGGCAGCAGUGAGGAAUAUUGGUCAAUGGCCGCAGGGCUGAACCAGCCAAGUCGCGUGAGGGAUGACGGUCCUAUGGAUUGUAAACCUCUUUUGUCAGGGAGCAAAGGGCGCCACGUGUGGCGCUUUGCGAGUACCUGAAGAAAAAGCAUCGGCUAACUCCGUGCCAGCAGCCGCGGUAAUACGGAGGAUGCGAGCGUUAUCCGGAUUUAUUGGGUUUAAAGGGUGCGCAGGCGGAAUGUCAAGUCAGCGGUAAAAUUUCGGGGCUCAACCCCGUCGUGCCGUUGAAAAUGGCGUUCUUGAGUGAGCGAGAAGUAUGCGGAAUGCGUGGUGUAGCGGUGAAAUGCAUAGAUAUCACGCAGAACUCCGAUUGCGAAGGCAGCAUACCGGCGCUCAACUGACGCUCAUGCACGAAAGCGUGGGUAUCGAACAGGAUUAGAUACCCCAGUAGUC